UAGGGAAGUCUUUCCACAAUGGGCGAAAGCCUGAUGGAGCAACGCCGCGUGUGUGAUGAAGGGUUUCGGCUCGUAAAACACUGUUGUAAGAGAAGAAUGACAUUGAGAGUAACUGUUCAAUGUGUGACGGUAUCUUACCAGAAAGGAACGGCUAAAUACGUGCCAC
This 166-nucleotide ribosomal RNA is filed under the name uncultured bacterium. Its description in RNAcentral is "partial 16S rRNA". It matches the Rfam family "Bacterial small subunit ribosomal RNA", at positions 355 to 511 of the family's 1533-position model. The record is from RNAcentral.